Molecule: ribosomal RNA, 249 nt
Filed under: uncultured bacterium
Lineage: Bacteria
Description: partial 16S ribosomal RNA
Rfam family: Bacterial small subunit ribosomal RNA
Source: RNAcentral
CACGCCCUAAACGAUGCGAACUAGGUGUUGGGGAAGGAGACUUUCUUAGUACCGCAGCUAACGCGUGAAGUUCGCCGCCUGGGGAGUACGGUCGCAAGAUUAAAACUCAAAGGAAUUGACGGGGACCCGCACAAGCGGUGGAUGAUGUGGUUUAAUUCGAUGCAACGCGAAAAACCUUACCCACCUUUGACAUGUAUGGAAGAUCGCAGAGACGCGAUUGUGCUCGAAAGAGAGCCAUAACACAGGUGC